CUACGGGGGGCUCCAGUGGGGAAUAUUGCACAAUGGGCGCAAGCCUGAUGCAGCCAUGCCGCGUGUAUGAAGAAGGCCUUCGGGUUGUAAAGUACUUUCAGCGGGGAGGAAGGGAGUAAAGUUAAUACCUUUGCUCAUUGACGUUACCCGCAGAAGAAGCACCGGCUAACUCCGUGCCAGCAGCCGCGGUAAUACGGAGGGUGCAAGCGUUAAUCGGAAUUACUGGGCGUAAAGCGCACGCAGACGGUUUGUUAAGUCAGAUGUGAAAUCCCCGGGCUCAACCUGGGAACUGCAUCUGAUACUGGCAAGCUUGAGUCUCGUAGAGGGGGGUAGAAUUCCAGGUGUAGCGGUGAAAUGCGUAGAGAUCUGGAGGAAUACCGGUGGCGAAGGCGGCCCCCUGGACGAAGGCUGACGCUCAGGUGCGAAAGCGUGGGGAGCAAACAGGAUUAGAUACCCGUGUAGUC
This 464-nucleotide ribosomal RNA is filed under the name uncultured bacterium. RNAcentral describes it as "partial 16S ribosomal RNA". It matches the Rfam family "Bacterial small subunit ribosomal RNA", at positions 339 to 795 of the family's 1533-position model. The record is from RNAcentral.